GAUGAACGCUGGCGGCGUGCCUAACACAUGCAAGUCGAGCGAUUCUCUUCGGAGAAGAGCGGCGGACGGGUGAGUAACGCGUGGGUAACCUGCCCUGUACACACGGAUAACAUACCGAAAGGUAUGCUAAUACGGGAUAAUAUGCUUUAGUCGCAUGGCUGAAGUAUCAAAGCUCCGGCAGUACAGGAUGGACCCGCGUCUGAUUAGCUAGUUGGUAAGGUAACGGCUUACCAAGGCGACGAUCAGUAGCCGACCUGAGAGGGUGAUCGGCCACAUUGGAACUGAGACACGGUCCAAACUCCUACGGGGGGCAGCAGUGGGGAAUAUUGCACAAUGGGCGAAAGCCUGAUGCAGCAACGCCGCGUGAGCGAUGAAGGCCUUCGGGUCGUAAAGCUCUGUCCUCAAGGAAGAUAAUGACGGUACUUGAGGAGGAAGCCCCGGCUAACUACGUGCCAGCCGCCGCCGUAA
RNAcentral lists this ribosomal RNA (468 nucleotides) under uncultured bacterium. RNAcentral describes it as "partial 16S ribosomal RNA". It matches the Rfam family "Bacterial small subunit ribosomal RNA", at positions 28 to 523 of the family's 1533-position model. The record is from RNAcentral.